This 5485-nucleotide long non-coding RNA is filed under the name Triticum aestivum (bread wheat). RNAcentral's name for it is "long non-coding RNA (TAES_LNC019989)". Lineage: Eukaryota; Viridiplantae; Streptophyta; Magnoliopsida; Poales; Poaceae. The record is from RNAcentral.
UUUGAGUCCAGUAUGAGGAAAAAUCCUCCUUACUGGUAGACAAUUUCUUGAUACAAUAAGCCAGUAGCAUAGAAUAUAUUACAAGGUCGAACUAAGGCUGCUCAACAAAUUAUUACAAGCACGCCAAUAAUUAUACAUAAUGGCGGAUAUGCCACACUGGUGUGGUGGCAUACUACUGACUCGAGAUAGAAGUAGUAGUAGAAUAACACAGUGGGGAGUGGAUAACACGACUCCUAAACUGGGGUCUCAUCGAGCGUCGAGGUGAAGCUCGAUGAAUUUAUUCGGGUAGCGGAAGCGGAUAUAAUACAGUGACCAAAUCCAGGGUCGCACGAGACUGACUGGGAUUCCUCUAGGCAUCGGACUCGCUAUCGAACUCUUCAUCCAUGAGAUCGCCUUCGUCAGCAUCUGGCCAAAUCAACAAGCCAGGUGAGUACUUUGAAAGUACUCGCAAGACAGUUCGGACAUAAGAUAUAACAAAUGCAUGCAUGAAUGCGUCAUGAUUAAUUUACCAAUGCACAUUCAGUUUAGCAAAACAAGGUAAAUAAAAAAAGGGAGUCGACGGUAGUCCGUCCGAAAACCCAACAAAAUAAUUGAAAACCGAUCGGGUGUGUGAAGCGACGCCUCGAAGGGUGAACAAAUAUAUAAAGAUCAUGCCACAGUCGGGCGUCUGAGCGACACCACGUAAAGGGCUUAAACUGAAAAUAAAAGACAUGCGUGCCACAGUCGGACGUCGGGGCGACAUCACGGAAAUGGCUUAUAUUUAAAGUAAAUAACAGUACGGCCACAGUCGGACGUCUGAGCGACAUCACAGAAAGGGCUUUUAGUAAAAAUAAAUAAUGACAAUGCCGCAGUCGGACGUCUGAGCGACAUCGCAGAGAGGGCUUUUAUUGAAAGUAAAUAAUAACAAUGCCACAGUCGGACGUCUGAGCGACAUCGCAGAAAGGGCUUUCUUCACAAGGAUAUAAUACUCAUAAUUAAUAUUCAACUCAUGAUAAUAAACGGGUUAGUCCAUCCACAUGAAUAAACAUUUAACCGGACAUAGCACUCAUAUGAUUCACCGGAGUUUCUGUCACCAAAACUGACACUUGUCAGAUAAGAUAAUACCGAACUUGGACAUGGAAUAGAUGAUUCAAAGGAAUUUAUGACUCUGCAGAACUAAAAAUUCCCACAGCCAACGAAUUUCCGUAAUCACGAAGGACUAGUUCCGUUUACGGUAAUUCGGAAGAAAACACAGCCAACUAGUACACACCCAUCCUACCUUACGAUGCCAGGAAUCACCCUACACAUCGUCCAAGAAAAACUUUGAGACGGGGAGAUCACAAUCUCGAAUAGCAUGUGAUCAAAUUUAUAUACGCGCGCUCUAAGGGGUGCCCCCCUGUUGGUCCCAACCGGAAACACCCAUGCCCCCUGACCGGAUGACUGGCUUUAAUCCAGGGCCAUGGAACCAUCAUCACGGCCUCUCCUUUUGGUGUGUACCAGGAAAGCGGUUUGCAACUUACUAAGCCAUAUUCCUCGCGGAAAACAUGUGGUAGUACAGGGAAAGAAAACGGAUGGAACUGGACCGAUACGGGUUGACACUGAAGUCAAAUAGUCUGGCAUAAGACUGGCAUGCUACAACACUGCCAUCUUACCCAUUCUCAUGCCAAUACAUGGCCAUGCAUACUCACAUCCAUCCACUUAUGGAUUUUCGAAACUCACUUGCCUCAACGUUGCAUGUAACAUGACAUUCAUUGGUAUGCUCACAAACAUGUCAUGAAACUACUUAAUGCAAACAUGCCAAAACAUUCAUCAUAUCAAAAGUUCAAACAUGCUUGCCUGGUUCAGAGUAGUCGGAGCCUAGCUCGGUGAAGUUCGCGGUUCCGUCGCCUCCUUCGGUAUCUACGGUAUAAAGAAACAUACGCGCUAACGUAAAUACCGUGAGGUGCACAAAAAUUAUGCCAAAUAGUUUUCAAAUAAAUCAGAUAAAACACUAGACAGAAUUCCAAAGAGGACAGAAAAAGAAUCAAUCAAAAAUACUUUUCUGUUUAAAAGUUAUAAAAUUUGUAGUCCAGGGACUCAUCUGUAAUGAAACAGAAAGUUUUCAGGGGCUAACUUAUAAAAACAGAAAACGCUUCGAUUGAGAAUACGCCGGCCCAGAGGGGAGACGCAUUUUGGCAGAAGGCGCCUUCAGAAAACGGUUCGUUUUAAAAGAACAGAGAGGCUGACAGGCGGGUCCCGCCCGUCAGGUUUGAAAUUUCAAAAGAGGAGAGCAGAGCUCGUCGGUGCCCGAGAGCUGCGGUGUUCGCCGGCGGCGAUCCACGGCGAGGCAGGGGGAUCGGAGGUUACCAACGUGUUCACCGUGUCCUUCCGCGUCGGUGGGUGGUGGUGGUGGACGCCGGCGAGCACCACGUCGACGGCGGCCCUUGCUCCGGCGGACGGUGGUUCGGGCGUUGAUGGAUCUCGCCGAGGAGGGCUGCAAGGAUCGAAUUGAAGUGGGGGUUAGCUCUCUGUGUGCUCGAGGAGGUUACUGACAAGGUUUGGGCGCCGGGGAUGGCCUCACCGGAGUGGAUCAAGUCGGAGGCCGAGGCGGAACGAAGCGGCCGGAGUUGGGGGAGGAGACCUCCUCGAGGUCCUCCUAGUGGCCUGGCGGGGUGUUGGUGAGGUGCAGUGGUGGUGCGUGCUCGAGGGUGAGCUCGGGGUCCCCUUUUAUAGGCGAUCCGAGGCGGUGGCCGUGAACGGAGUUCUCCGGCGAUGGAUUACGGCGGUGCAGUGCUUGGUCGGGGAGUUUAGGAGGUUGGCCAUCAACAUGGAGGUCCACUGGCUCCACUCAGACGUUAAACGGACUUGGAUUAGGAGCUUAGGGUAGGUUUUGUCGGAACGGGGCGGCGCGGGCCCGUCGGCGGCAGAGAGCGCGCCCAGUGCUUGCCGGGCCACGGUGACGGUGCAGCGGGGCUGCGCUGGCAUGCAUGAGCCACGCGUAGAGCUAAGGAACAAUGGGCGGCGCUGAACGGCGUUGCAAGCUGGCGUUGCCUACUGUUGGCCGCCACGGGUGGCGUGGCCACCGCAGAAGCUGCCAGCUCCGGCGAUGCUCGCCGCCACCGACGCUAGGAACCAGCCAAGUGCGCGUGCGGCGCUCUGGACAUGGAGGAGGAGCCGUGCGCAAAGCGCCAGGGCGCACUGUGGACAGGUGACCGAUCACUGACGGAGAAACGACACUGCAUCUCUGAACUUUCUGAAUUUUUCUGAAAAUGCAAAGUAACAGUGUCGGCCAGGUGUUUGACAGAAUGAUUCUGGUAUGUAGGAGGUUCUCCUUGAGUUGAAACUUGGUGGGGUGGCCUCUCAUUGUACCAUGAGGCUGCCUAAAUUUUGGUAGAAUUUUUGGAGAAGAGGAGAUAUGAGGAGAUAUGAAUUUCACCAAAUUUGGCAAAUCUGGUCCAAACUUGCAGAGGCUGAAAUUUGAAAAAUUUGAAAAGAGGAAGGGUGGAUCUUGAUGGUUCUAGGUUAUGAGUGCUAAGGACUAUUCAGAGGAGUUGGUUUGAGAUCAAAACUCAAAGGCAAUAAGGUACUUGCUUUGAAAAUCACUUAGGCUCAAACUAAUUGACAGAAUUGUUUUUGGAGGGAAAAUAAAUAAAUUAAAAUCCCAAAAUGGUUUGGACUUGCUGGAACAGAGAAUUUAGAUUGCUCCAAAGUGAUGGGAGGGGUUUUGGUAAGGUCUUUCCACAUGAGGCAAGAUAAAAAUCAUGAGUGGUUUCAAAAUGAGAGAAGUCCCAAAACUCCUAGGGUUUUCUUUUUAAAUGAAAAUGAUCAAAUUAAAAAAAAUACAUUUGAGAGGGAAACAAUCAGAAGAAAAGUUUCCAUAAUUUAAACACCAAAUUUGAAGAGGAUGUACAUAAAAAUCCUUGCCAAGGGUGAAAAUUUUUAAGAGAGAGGUUUUUUGGAAGAAUUUUAAAUGGCCUCUUUUCAAAACCAACAAAGUUUUGCUGAAAACCAAAUUUUUUUUUGGAGUGUCACAAAAAUGGGCCAGAACAAGGAUCCAAGAUGUCGAUUUUUAGCGGUUGCUUUUACUAUUGUUGUUAUACUUUUAUUUAUUUAUUAUCCUAUAAAAAACACGCUUUUAUAUCGUGGCGGUCCAUCGUUACUUUUUUAAUCAUGAAUCAAUCAAUGCAACCUCCUUUCCAUUUACAUAUCACACCAGCAACCCUCUCCACAACAGUGUACAUGCCUGACAUGCUGUUACUGUAGAAACUUGAUAUAUCGUACUUGAUGUUGUCAAUGCUGACACGCUUAUGUGUGUAGAAAAGAUCGCUCUGUGGGUAGUGCUCUCCAUAUUAGUGUUUAUGUAUAUACCUUGUAUAUGGUCGUUCUCGAAACUCCUUACUACAAUGUACCACACGUUGAAGGUGUUUGGUCGAACCGCGGUGUCGAUGCAUCCUCAGAUUUAUCCAACACCCACAAAAGUCAGAAGAAGUGUAUGUGUUUUCUGCAUGGCGAUGUAACUUCUUCGAGUAACCAUCAGGCGAGGGACAUAAACUGUAUGUGAGACCUGCAGACAUAAAAAACUCUAUAAAUAAAUACUCCAAUAACCUGCUUCCGAUGUCAGUUUGUCUGUUCUGUUGUUCCGAACGUUUCAUUAUAAAUAAAUACUCCAACCAACCACAUGCAUGUAACUACAUAAGUGAAUUUUAUCUAGAGAAGAUAAGCUUGCACUGAAUUAGGCCGAAGCUAUAUACACAACUUCUAAGAAAAUGAAUUGAGCAUAGGAAGAGCUGUGCUCAAAUUAAAUAGGAGCUGGUGAAGCUCGAACCAUGCCUGUUUAACCCACCAACUUGUGGUGCUAACCGGUAAGACCCCAAAAUUCAUAAGGGCAUGUACAAUGGUUGAUAAGAUAGUCUUAUCUUAAGUUUUGCAUGUAAAUUAGAGAUGACAGAAAAACAUGUCUACAAUGGGUCAUCUCUUAGCCUUAUCUUCAAUAAUUAAUUGUUCCUAAAAAUAUGGUGAGACAAAUUGUGCUAAGAGAUCAUCUCUUGUCUUCUCUUAAAUAAGAUAAGACAAGCCUUCUCUUAUGAUUUCUAUCUCCUCCACCUCAUCAUUUAUCCUAUGUGGCACUUUUAAAAUAGAACCAUUGUACAUGCCCUAAAAGAAGCAAACAUCGAAAACUUCUCGAUCCAAGUAAGGAAACAACAAAUCUAACCUCCAAGCCACUCGGCGUCAUGGCUAGUUCCUCCGCCUCCUGGCCUCGCGCGUGUGGCUAGAUGCGUAAGGCCUAGCUCCGCUUGAUAUGCACAUGGCAAAUAGAUUAAAGAAGUGUACUGGAUAGUAAAUAGCUGGAGCCGGAAGACACACCCGUGAUCUUACCGACAACGUUUGAGGCAGGACGCCGGCGGACAGCGGCGACUCCAUGGAUCACAUGCGGUGAACACCAAUUUCUGCAUAUGCUUUUCUUCUCUGCACCUGUGUUUUCUAGAGAGGCGGCCAGCCGAUGGACACUCUUAUACAUGAGCAUGAG